AUUGUUUUGUUGUAGUUCAUAAUCAUGCUGAUUGGGUAUUUGUGCCUUUGCAUCGCAUGUGCUUCCCACGAACCUUGAUACUUACAACCUUGGAAAAUUCGUCUGAUG
This is a small nucleolar RNA of Mastomys coucha (southern multimammate mouse), 108 nucleotides long. RefSeq annotates it as small nucleolar RNA U13. The transcript has a single exon. Lineage: Eukaryota; Metazoa; Chordata; Mammalia; Rodentia; Muridae. The record is from RefSeq and is a predicted model, not a curated record.